This 441-nucleotide ribosomal RNA is filed under the name uncultured bacterium. RNAcentral's name for it is "bacterial SSU rRNA". It matches the Rfam family "Bacterial small subunit ribosomal RNA", at positions 958 to 1398 of the family's 1533-position model. The record is from RNAcentral.
AACGCGAAGAACCUUACCUGGGCUCGAACGGCUUCCCAACGGCGUUAGAAAUAGCGUUACCCCGCAAGGGGGUGGAGUCGAGGUGCUGCAUGGCUGUCGUCAGCUCGUGUCGUGAGAUGUUGGGUUAAGUCCCGCAACGAGCGCAACCCUUGUCCUGUGUUGCCAUGCCGAAAGGCGGAACUCGCAGGAGACCGCCAGCGAUAAGCUGGAGGAAGGUGGGGAUGACGUCAAGUCCUCAUGGCCUUUAUGUCCAGGGCUACACACGUGCUACAAUGGCCGGUACAAAGCGUCGCUAACCCGCGAGGGGGAGCCAAUCGCAAAAAACCGGUCUCAGUUCGGAUUGCAGGCUGCAACUCGCCUGCAUGAAGCUGGAAUCGCUAGUAAUGGCAGAUCAGCACGCUGCCGUGAAUACGUUCCCGGGCCUUGUACACACCGUACGUC